CUAGCUCCUAAAUAUAGCUACCAUACUGAAACUGGGCCAAGUAGAAAGCAUCAUUUCUGUUUCAUGUAACAAAUAUGCUAGGUUCUGAAAAGAAACAUCGGACAUUUAUUUGAAGCCAAGACAAAGAGAUUUUCAGAUACCUAUAAAUGAAGUCAGUAAGCUGAAAGUAUCAGUAAGCUGAAACAUAUGAAGAUGAAAUCAAGAGUCAUGAAUUGAACAAACACACUGGAAAGCUUCAUUAACUGUUUUUCAAGCUGAUGGGGG
This is a long non-coding RNA of Homo sapiens (human), 264 nucleotides long. RefSeq lists it as uncharacterized. Lineage: Eukaryota; Metazoa; Chordata; Mammalia; Primates; Hominidae. The record is from RefSeq and is a predicted model, not a curated record. The transcript is spliced from 3 exons.